RNAcentral lists this ribosomal RNA (200 nucleotides) under Fibrocapsa japonica. Its description in RNAcentral is "partial Bacterial large subunit ribosomal RNA". It matches the Rfam family "Bacterial large subunit ribosomal RNA", at positions 1562 to 1761 of the family's 2925-position model. Lineage: Eukaryota; Raphidophyceae; Chattonellales; Chattonellaceae. The record is from RNAcentral.
CGUGAUGCGUAGACCCAAUGGGGUUGAUGGUGGUGAUCCUGUACUGUCGAGAAAAGCCUCUAGCGAUGUGUGUGUAUGGCCCGUACCCUAAACCGACACAGGUAGUCAGGUUGAAAAUACUAAGGCGUUCGGGUGAACUGUGGUUAAGGAAUUCGGCAAAAUGCCCCCGUAACUUCGGGAGAAGGGGGGCCUCACGACGU